Molecule: long non-coding RNA, 879 nt
Organism: Lates calcarifer (barramundi perch)
Lineage: Eukaryota; Metazoa; Chordata; Actinopteri; Centropomidae
Exons: 4
Source: RefSeq, a predicted model, not a curated record
GUUGCCAACGGUUUGUCUUGAGACUUGACUUGAGAGAGGUCCUGAUGAGAGAGUGAGUCCUGAUUUAUGCUUCCUCCUGUCUGCCCAUUGCACUGUACUCGUAACAGAUCCUGGGUGUGAUAGCUGUUUCCUAACUCCACUCCACUGAUUUGGUGUAGACGGCACUGCUGAGCUUGCCUGUGAUUUGAAUGUGGCAGUGUAAAGGUUGCAGUUCAAAGACCUCAACUAGAGGCCAGUUGCUUAAACAUUACAGAUUAAAACAUCCCCAUUAUGGGCGCAGGCACCCAUAUCCUUGUCCAUAUAGUAGUUGUCCAUGUACAUCUAAGUCAUGGAAUGCGCUCAGGUCACAUUUGUGUAGAGUCCAUACUAGAGAAACAUCACGGCAAACAUUGACAUGGGCGACAUUCAGCUGUUGUGUUUGUGGGUUCUCUGAAGUUGCCUCUGAAAAGGAGUAUUUCACUCAUAUAAAUUUGCAUCUCAAAGCCAAUGAAACAGUCCCCUGUAUGUUCAAGGGUUGUACAUUUAGGACAAAUAUUUAUGGGACAUUUAAAUCACAUAGAAAUAGAAAGCACCUUGGUUAUUCUUACAGUGACUUUAAACCUGGAAUAGUUACAGAAAGAGACAGUUUUGAAAGCUCAAGUGUUUCAGGUGAACAUGGAGACAAUGAAGAAUCAGAAGAAGCCCAGCUUGAAGUGCAGUCUAGUUUUCAGAGAGACUGCUCAGAAAAUCUUGAGAAGAUGAUAGAAGAGAAACUUGCAGCAGUGUUGCUUAAGCUGGAAAACAUACUCCAUGUUCCCAGUAAUGCAGUUGAUGAGCUUUUACAUUAAUACUCUCCUCUGAUUCAGAAUCUCCUCGAUCACAUUGGCCCACAGAAUUCCA